UGGUCUUACAAAGAAGGUAGUAGUACGAGCUUGCCAGGAAGGCAGAUUGUUCAGGUAUAUUAGCAAAGCCAGACUUAUAUAAGUUGCUUUAUGCAUUUGAAAUGCAUCAACAUAACUGGAGAAGAGCAGCAUGCUACAUGUACCUAUAUUCUGCUCGUUUGAGAAAAGAAACAGCUCUGAGAGAUUACCAGCACACGUCAUUGGCACUAAAGGAGAUUCUGAAUUGGCUCUCUGCUGCUAUCAAUGCACUUCAUCUUGUUCAUCCGGCCAACGCUUGGAUUGAUCCUCUACUCUGGAGAAUUCUCUUCAAAACGAGCACUAUCCAAGUGAAAAGGCUAGAAUUACAAUAGAUGAACAGAGCAAAUAAUGCAACAACCAAAAGUUUGUUUUAAUUGUGUGUACAUCUUUAAUUGUUGUCACGAGUCACAACUACCAUAUGUAUCUGAUAGAUUGAAUACCCAUAACUUUUACCUGCUACCUACCUAUGUGAAAAAAUUUCUUGCAGACCAACAAUUUUUUCAAAAGCAAUGAACGCACAUACAUACAGGCUGAUUUUGAAAUCCCAUAUACAUACAAUUACAUUUAUAUGUACCUCAUUUAGAACUGUCUAAUAUAAUAUUUGCUUUGUCCACAUUUGCAUUAUAUACUGUUCUGUUUUGAGGCAGUCACAAGUUUUAUUUUUAUUGCAGCUGCCAGCAACAAUGCUCAUCCUCAGACAGGGAAAUCUUAUAUUGAUAUUGAGAAGAUUGAGGAUGAGUUUAUGCUUACUUCAGCAGAAUAUUUGCUUUCGUUGGCAAAUAUCAAACCUGCAUCUAGUGAUGAAAGUAGACGAGGAAGAUGCGGUUUCUGCUUUAAGUUGAGAGAUUUUCGGUUGUCCAACAAGAUGGAUGGACACACUUUGAAUUCAACCCUGAAGUUGAGCAUCAGCUGCAGUAUGAUAUGCAUGACUUGUUAACAGACAAUGCUAUCAAGUUACAGUGGUUAUUGAAAGUGAGCGGUGACUAUUUUGUGGUUGAGAAUCGUCCGCCCCCCACCCCCGCUCUCUUAAUAGUAACUCGCAUAGUUAAAAGCAAAGUGAAAUGGGCUGGAAGGGCAAAACCAUUGCUUGUUUGGCGUGAUUAUUUGCAGCACUAUCAACAGAAGAUGAAAAGAACAACAAACCGCAUACGAAACUAGUGAAACCUACUCAUUCAACAAAAGAACAACAAGCCGCAGCAUUCCAAUGCCAACAUUUCCAAUUCAACCCAUAGAUAUCAACCUCCAUACAGAUUAGUAAUUGCUAGUUUAUGAACAAACCAACCAUCUCCAACUUAUUUCUCAGUAAAAAAAAUUCUUUGCCUUAUAAUAAUAGCAUUCCGUUGACUGGCCCUUCUUAAUUGUCGAAAUCUCAGUCCCACCGUUAAACAUAGUUGAUCGGAGAAACCCCAGAAUGGACCACCCGGUCGAGGAAGAGCCCGGAAAAAUCCGACUUUAUGCCGAUACCUUUAUACCAAACCUUCAGCUUGAGUCCAAAUCUCGCCAGAGCGCCAGAGGCAGAGCCAUCGGCCCUAAGCCCGAUCAUGUUGCUUGUAUUUAUACUUUCAUUUAUCUUCUAGGGUUUUCUCUUCUAAUUUGUUUUUCUUGGGGGUGACUCAUACAUUGAUACUCUUACAAGAUUUUUCUGUAUGCUUAUUUCUGCCUUCAAAACACUUUCAUAUCUUUGAUUUAGCUUGAGUUAUAGUGUUUGACGUACUGUGUAUUCCUUUCUCAGACUAUUCCGGGUCUUUGUUGGGAGCUGGCUCAACUCCAAGACACAUACAUACUGCAAGGUGAUUAUGACUUAAGGGUCAUGCGACAAGAAUAUUACAUUAACUGGCAGAAAGCGUUUAUAAACCAUCUUGUUAAUCAGCUUGCAAGGCAUCAGUUCUUAAAAUGGCUUGUCAGUUGGAAAAGAAAAACAUGCUCGGAUCAUACUCCUUGCUUAAAGUUAUUGAAUCUGAGGUGCAUGCCUACCUAUCAGCAACAAAAGGCCGUGUUGGGUCGUUGCCCGGCAUUAAUUCAAGCGACAUCUGAUGUAAGGAGGAGUGGAUGAUCAGGAUCACUUUUUGCAUGGUGUUAGUGUUGGAAAGUAAUAAGUUUAGGAUUUGGACUCGGCCUGUUAGAAUUAGGUUUUGUUAGAGAUUAGGGUUUAGUUUAUUAUAAAUAGGAUGCAUGUUAUUCACUUUAGAACAAACAUGUCACAAUGUAGUCUCGUGGAGUUUUGUAGCCGUUUUGGCAUUCUUAUUUAUUUAAUAAUAUUCUGAUUUUGUAGUCUAGUACUAUGAUAUUCAACGAUAGAGAUCUUUUAAGUAUCCAUUCAAAUGCUCAAGUUGGGCUAUCAACAUAUGUAUCAGCUCCGGGUAUUUUGCAGCAGAUAUCUAGUCUUCCUUCAGACUUGAUGACCCUUCAGUCUGAUCUUGAGAAUUCACGUCCAGAGGACAGAAAUAGUUGUGUAAAUGAGUUGUGCACUUUAAUUCAAAUUUGCAGUAAUUGCUAUUUGCGUCUUCGACAACCGCACAACCUUAUACUGACCGCACGGCCAUUGCUGAAAGAGCUUGAUGAAAUGGAGAAAAUAAAUGCGAAUCUCUCUGCUGCAGUUGAAGAGGUGACAUUGGAGCAUCGUAAGAAAAAUGAGGUAACUGCUUUCUGGCGCAUAUAUUGGUUUAGUUAACUACUUUCUGGACCUUAAUCGUGUUAUAAAUAUUGGAAAAAUGUAUGGCAUGCAAAUUGUAAAACAUCAUGCCAAGGAAAUUGAGCUUCAACGAGGUGUCUUUGUUGAGUUCUUUUGUAAUCCUGAUCGUCUGAGGAGUCAAGUUUGGGAGCUAACUACGCGCGUCAGAGCUUUGCAGGUUUCAUAACUUAUGCAUAUAUAUUGUCCCGGCUUAUUUGUGUGUGCAGUAAAGAGAGAGGUUGAGCUCAGUCACUGUAUUUAUCAAAGCCAUGGAUGGUCUUUUUACUCAAAUUCAAAAGUUCAAUCUCAAUAAUUGUGAUUCUAUUUUCA
Molecule: non-coding RNA, 3019 nt
Organism: Malus domestica (apple)
Lineage: Eukaryota; Viridiplantae; Streptophyta; Magnoliopsida; Rosales; Rosaceae
Source: RefSeq, a predicted model, not a curated record